This 98-nucleotide microRNA precursor is filed under the name Bos taurus (domestic cattle). RNAcentral describes it as "mir-544 microRNA precursor family". It matches the Rfam family "mir-544 microRNA precursor family". Lineage: Eukaryota; Metazoa; Chordata; Mammalia; Artiodactyla; Bovidae. RNAcentral also lists the same sequence under 5 other names. The record is from Rfam by way of RNAcentral.
AUCACUUGGGAAUCUUGUUAAAAUGAAGAUUCUCUUUCUGUAGGUCUGUUGUGGAGCCUGAGGUUCUGCAUUUCUAACAAGCUCCCAAGUGAGAUGCA